This 238-nucleotide ribosomal RNA is filed under the name uncultured bacterium. RNAcentral's name for it is "partial 16S ribosomal RNA". It matches the Rfam family "Bacterial small subunit ribosomal RNA", at positions 96 to 334 of the family's 1533-position model. The record is from RNAcentral.
UGGCGGACGGGUGAGUAACGCGUGGGUAACCUGCCUUAUACGGGGGGAUAACAGUUGGAAACGGCUGCUAAUACCGCAUAAGCGCACGGCAUCGCAUGAUGCAGUGUGAAAAACUCCGGUGGUAUAAGAUGGACCCGCGUUGGAUUAGCUAGUUGGUGAGGUAACGGCCCACCAAGGCGACGAUCCAUAGCCGACCUGAGAGGGUGACCGGCCACAUUGGGACUGAGACACGGCCCAA